Molecule: non-coding RNA, 373 nt
Organism: Callorhinus ursinus (northern fur seal)
Lineage: Eukaryota; Metazoa; Chordata; Mammalia; Carnivora; Otariidae
Source: RefSeq, a predicted model, not a curated record
GGGUGGGGUGAAAAUGAUUGGAGUGGAGAGAAGGUUGGAGACCUUGCUCUGAAACUGGGAAAGCUCAUUCAUAUGGAGGCCUCCAGAGGGAAGCCCCAGACUUCAGUCAACCAGCCUACUGGGAUGACCAGGCCAUGAUGAAUGAAGGCCAUGGAACCUUCCCUGAUUAAUCUGGAUUCUCUGAGGAUUCUGACGGUGGAACUUGUACAUGGACUUUGAAGAGCAGCAACAGAUCUAAGAAGGAGUUCCUUCUGAAUCUGCCAAGUGGGGGCUUCAAGGACACAAAAUUUCAUCUAGAGAGAAAUAAUGGAAUGUGCCUAGGUGUUGUUGUAAGUGACCUCUCUAUUAAAACAUUUACCAUGUUGGGCUAUGA